Molecule: ribosomal RNA, 374 nt
Filed under: uncultured Porphyrobacter sp.
Lineage: Bacteria; Pseudomonadati; Pseudomonadota; Alphaproteobacteria; Sphingomonadales; Erythrobacteraceae
Description: bacterial SSU rRNA
Rfam family: Bacterial small subunit ribosomal RNA
Source: RNAcentral
UUGCGGGUUCGUCUUUCCGGGAGGAAGUGAGACAGGUGGUGCAUGGUUGUCGUCAGCUCGUGUCGUGAGAUGUUGGUAGUCCCGCAACGAGCGCAACCCUCGUCCUUAGUUGCCAUCAUUAAGUUGGGCACUUUAAGGAAACUGCCGGUGAUAAGCCGGAGGAAGGUGGGGAUGACGUCAAGUCCUCAUGGCCCUUACAGGCUGGGCUACACACGUGCUACAAUGGCAUCUACAGUGGGCAGCUAUCCCGCAAGGGCGCGCUAAUCUCCAAAAGAUGUCUCAGUUCGGAUUGUCCUCUGCAACUCGAGGGCAUGAAGGCGGAAUCGCUAGUAAUCGCGGAUCAGCAUGCCGCGGUGAAUACGUUCCCAGGCCUU